Molecule: unclassified non-coding RNA, 484 nt
Filed under: uncultured Bacteroidota bacterium
Lineage: Bacteria; Pseudomonadati; Bacteroidota
Description: uncultured Bacteroidetes bacterium partial 16S-23S ribosomal RNA intergenic spacer
Rfam family: tRNA (bases 121-194)
Source: RNAcentral
CCUCUUUUCUAGAGAAAUAUCUCUAAAUAUUAAAAUGAUCGGCUCUUGAAAUUUAUAUUUCUUAGAUCUUCGGUUGGCUCUUUUGAUUUCACAAUACUUUGUCUCUUUUUUUUGCUACAUAGUCUCGUAGCUCAGGUGGUUAGAGCGCAACACUGAUAAUGUUGAGGUCGGCAGUUCGAGUCUGCCCGGGACUACGAGAUACUUAAAGUUGAAUAGAUUCUUAUGGGUUUAUUUAGCUGUAGGAAAAAAGAGGGGGAUUAGCUCAGCUGGCUAGAGCGCCUGCCUUGCACGCAGGAGGUCAUCGGUUCGACUCCGAUAUUCUCCACAACCCCAGUUUAUACUGGGACAAAGUUCUUUGACAUAUUGGAGCAACAUAGAAUAAUCAUCAAGUUGAUGAAAAAUUAAAUAAGGGCACACGGUGGAUGCCUUGGGAUCUAAAGGCGAUGAAGGACGUGGUAAGCUGCGAUAAGCUUCGGGGAGCUGC